RNAcentral lists this ribosomal RNA (372 nucleotides) under uncultured organism. RNAcentral describes it as "bacterial SSU rRNA". It matches the Rfam family "Bacterial small subunit ribosomal RNA", at positions 526 to 896 of the family's 1533-position model. The record is from RNAcentral.
CGUAGGAGGCAAGCGUUAUCCGGAUUCACUGGGCGUAAAGCGCGUGCAGGCGGUGCGGUAAGUUAGGCGUGAAAUCUCCCGGCUCAACUGGGAGAGGUCGUCUAAUACUACCGUACUAGAGAGCAGAAGAGGAAGAUGGAAUUCCCGGUGUAGUGGUGAAAUGCGUAGAUAUCGGGAGGAACACCAGUGGCGAAGGCGAUCUUCUGGUCUGUUUCUGACGCUCAGACGCGACAGCUAGGGUAGUAAACGGGAUUAGAGACCCCGGUAAUCCUAGCCGUAAACGAUGUGAACUUGGCGUUGGUGGGUUAAACUCCAUCAGUGCCGCAGUAAACGCGAUAAGUUCACCGCCUGGGGACUACGGCCGCAAGGUUA